GGGGGCUUUCCGGGAUUAUUGGGCGUAAGAGCUCGUAGGCGGUUUGUCGCGUCUGCCGUGAAAGUCCGGGGCUCAACUCCGGAUCUGCGGUGGGUACGGGCAGACUAGAGUGAUGUAGGGGAGACUGGAAUUCCUGGUGUAGCGGUGAAAUGCGCAGAUAUCAGGAGGAACACCGAUGGCGAAGGCAGGUCUCUGGGCAUUAACUGACGCUGAGGAGCGAAAGCAUGGGGAGCGAACAGGAUUAGAUACCCUGGUAGUCCAUGCCGUAAACGUUGGGCACUUGGUGUGGGGGACAUUCCACGUUUUCCGCGCCGUAGCUAACGCAUUAAGUGCCCCGCCUGGGGAGUACGGCCGCAAGGCUAAAACUCAAAGGAAUUGACGGGGGCCCGCACAAGCGGCGGAGCAUGCGGAUUAAUUCGAUGCAACGCGAAGAACCUUACCAAGGCUUGACAUGAACCGGUAAGACCUGGAAACAGGUCCCCCACUUGUGGCCGGUUUACAGGUGGUGCAUGGUUGUCGUCAGCUCGUGUCGUGAGAUGUUGGGUUAAGUCCCGCAACGAGCGCAACCCUCGUUCCAUGUUGCCAGCGCGUUAUGGCGGGGACUCAUGGGAGACUGCCGGGGUCAACUCGGAGGAAGGUGGGGACGACGUCAAAUCAUCAUGCCCCUUAUGUCUUGGGCUUCACGCAUGCUACAAUGGCCGGUACAAAGGGUUGCGAUACUGUGAGGUGGAGCUAAUCCCAAAAAGCCGGUCUCAGUUCGGAUUGGGGUCUGCAACUCGACCCCAUGAAGUCGGAGUCGCUAGUAAUCGCAGAUCAGCAACGCUGCGGUGAAUACGUUCCCGGGCCUUGUACACACCGCCCGUCAAGUCACGAAAGUUGGUAACACCCGAAGCCGGUGGCCUAACCCCUUGUGGGGAGGGAGCUGUCGAAGUGGGACUGGCGAUUGGGACUAAGUCGUAACAAGGUAACC
Molecule: ribosomal RNA, 970 nt
Filed under: uncultured bacterium
Lineage: Bacteria
Description: bacterial SSU rRNA
Rfam family: Bacterial small subunit ribosomal RNA
Source: RNAcentral